AAGCAUUACAAUACAACCUUUGUUUUUGAAUCUAGGAGCAAAGAUGGUCUCUAACAAUCAACUCUUUCACCUCUUUUUGUUUCUUUGUUUUUUCCAGAUUACUUGUUUGCAUGCCCAACUCUGCACUCAACAACAGACCUCUGCAUUGCUCCAAUUUAAGCAACAAUUUUCCUUCUAUAAAUAUGCUGACUACAGUAGGUGUGAUUCUGCCGGAAUCCUUUCUUACCCGAAGAUGGAGUCGUGGAAGGAGGGUUCUGAUUGUUGCUCAUGGGAUGGGGUCGAGUGUGACAACAACACAAGUCAAGUAAUUGGCCUCGACCUCAGUUGCAGCUGGCUCAACGGCACCAUCCACCCCAAUACCACAAUCUUCUACUACUUUCCUCACCUCCAAAGCCUCAACCUUGCUUUCAAUUACUUUGGUAUGUCUCCAAUCUCAUCUGAAUUUAGUCGAUUCACCAGACUGACACACCUCAACCUCUCUGGCUCUGUCUUUUCUGGCAAAGUCCCUAUAGAAGUCUCCUUUCUGAGCAAAUUGGUCUCGCUUGAUCUCUCUGACAAUGAUGGUUUGAGGUUGGAAGAACCUGGAUUUGAAUUACUUGUUCAAAACUUAACCAAGGACUUGGAGCUUCAAUACACUAAUUUCUCUGGAGAACUACCUGACUCAAUUGGGAAUUUGAAGUCCUUGAAAAUGUUGGGUGCCUUUGGUUGUGAAUUUUAUGGAUCCAUCCCUACGUCGCUCGGAAACCUUACGGAAAUGAUUGCUUUAGGCAUCGACGAUAACAAUUUCACUGGCAUGCUUCCAUCUUCACUUUCAAACCUUGGAAAUCUUGUCUACUUGCGAGUUGGGGGUAAUAAUUUUGAAGGUAAAAUCGCAGAUUUUUUACCUAAUGUAAAAAGUCUUCUAUAUUUAUAUAUUGGUCCAAAUAACUUCGGCUGUUCAUUCCCAUCAUUGGGUGCAAACCUAACAUCACUUAUUGUGUUAGAUUUGUCAAAUACUCAGCUAACGGGACCUCUUCCAUCACAAAUAAUUGGACUUCCAAAUCUAACGUCGUUAAGUUUAGAGGAUAACUUAAUCAACGGUACAAUUCCGUCUUGGGUUUUCAGCUUACCAGCAUUGGAAUACUUCAAAAUCAGCAAUAACAAAUUGACUGGCCAUGUAAAAGAGUUCAAAUCCUCUCAUUUAAGCGUUGUUGAUUUGAGCAAUAACAGCCUACAUGGUAGGUUUCCAAGUUCAACCUUCAAACUCGUGAACCUUACUAGUCUCAUUCUUUCAUCAAAUAACUUCAGUGGUGAGCUAGACAUGCUCUGUCAUGCAGUUUCCCUUGAAAUUCUUGUCCUGUCUAAUAAUAGCUUUAAUGGUUCUAUUCCACAAUGUUUAGGAAAUUUCAGCACAUAUUUCUUUGUGCUCGAUCUGCGGAAGAAUAAUUUUUCUGGCACCAUUCCUAAUACAUUUGUAAAGGAAAAUUUCUUCGAAACUAUCAACCUUAAUGGAAAUGGAUUUGAGGGGGCAGUACCAAAAUCUUUAGUCAAUUGCAAAAUGCUAGAAGUGCUAGAUCUUGGAUGUAACAAGUUCUCUGACAAUUUUCCACAUUGGCUGGAAAAACUACAAUCGUUGCAAGUUCUAAUUUUGAGAUCUAACAAAUUCCAUGGGCCCAUGCCAACUUCAAAAGCCAAGUUUCCCUUCCUUAACUUGCGAGUUAUGGAUUUGUCUGACAAUUAUUUUACUGGUCUAUUGCCAAAAAAAUAUUUCAAGAAUUUCAAUGCUAUGAUGAGUGUUGACGAAGCCAGUUUUAAAUUGCAAUACUUAAGUAUGAGUCGCAGUUUCACAUAUUACUAUAGUUUGACUAUAGUAAUCAAAGGAUCAACCAUAGAAAUGGUAAAAGUCCUAACCAUUUUCACUGCAAUUGAUUUAUCGAAAAACAAUUUCGAAGGUGAGAUUCCAGAGAUCAUUGGAAGGCUAAAUUCAAUCCGAGGGCUCAACUUAUCCCACAACAACCUUACAGGUCAUAUACCAGCAUCUCUUGCUAAUUCGACAACGCUCGAAUGGUUAGAUCUCUCUUCCAACAAACUCACUGGAAAGAUCCCUCAACAACUAAGGAAUUUGAUAUCCCUUGAAGUCUUGAACCUUUCUCAGAAUCAACUAGUAGGACCGAUACCACAAGGCAACCAAUUUGAUACAUUUUUAAAUGAUUCCUACAUUGGCAACUUGGCAUUAUGUGGACCUCCAUUGUUAAAUACAUGCAAUCCAAGGACACCACAACCACCACCCUUGAUGUUUCAACAAGAAGACAAUACUUCAAGUGGAUUCAAUUGGUAUGUCAUAUUGCCGGGUUAUGGAUGUGGGCUGGUAUGGGGAUUUUUUAUGGGAUAUCUUAUGUUCUCUAGAGGAAAACCUCAAUGGCUUGUGAGGAUCAUUGAAGGUGAACGAAACAAAAGCGGAAAGAGAUUUUAAAAGCAUUCUCACAGGAAUAGAGCAAGGUGAAAUUAGCCAAUGCAAGUGGUGUCCUUUGAUGCGGUGCAUUUUAAUUUGAUUUAAGCGGCACAUCUUUUGAAGUCAUGGCGAAUUUUGGUCAAGCUGAUGUAUUACGUAAUGCUAGGAAGUUGAAGAUACAGUAUCCAAGUGCUGUCAAUAUACAAUUUCGGUGGGUUCAUUUGGUGAAUAGUGCUGUGUGUGUUUUUAAAACCUUAGUGCUCUUCUUAUUGCUGCUUUUGGCUGGUGCUUCAAAGUCUUCUCAGUUUUCGGUUUCUGGCUGCUUCGAAGCACUGUUUGGGUAUAUAUCUGGCUACUUCAGUGGCGACUAAUUUGGAUUUAUUGUCUUGGGUUUUCAAUAGCUUGUUUGAAUAUAAUUUGUUACGUCUACUUGGUGAGUUAUCUCUUUUUGAUAAUUUAAAAUUUAUUUAAGGGUGAUUGUGAGACCUUUGAAUCUCGUUUGUAAUAAUUUGUAAACUCUUGAUUGAUAGUGAGAUCAGAUUACGGUCCUAUGGACAUACUUUACAUCGACGGAACCACGUAAAAAAAUUUGUGUGGUUGAUUUAUUUUUUCA
Molecule: non-coding RNA, 3044 nt
Organism: Camellia sinensis
Lineage: Eukaryota; Viridiplantae; Streptophyta; Magnoliopsida; Ericales; Theaceae
Source: RefSeq, a predicted model, not a curated record